RNAcentral lists this ribosomal RNA (423 nucleotides) under uncultured bacterium. RNAcentral's name for it is "partial 16S ribosomal RNA". It matches the Rfam family "Bacterial small subunit ribosomal RNA", at positions 360 to 775 of the family's 1533-position model. The record is from RNAcentral.
AAUUUUGGACAAUGGGGGACACCCUGAUCCAGCCAUCCCGCGUGUAUGAUGAAGGCCUUCGGGUUGUAAAGUACUUUUGGCAGAGAAGAAAAGGUACCUCCUAAUACGAGGUACUGCUGACGGUAUCUGCAGAAUAAGCCCCGGCUAACUACGUGCCCGCAGCCGCGGUAAUACGUAGGGUGCAAGCGUUAAUCGGAAUUACUGGGCGUAAAGCGUGUGUAGGCGGUUCGGAAAGAAAGAUGUGAAAUCCCAGGGCUUAACCUUGGAAAUGCAUUUAUAACUGCCGGGCUAGAGUAUGUCAGAGGGGGGUAGAAUUCCACGUGUAGCAGUGAAAUGCGUAGAUAUGUGGAAGAAUACCGAUGGCGAAGGCAGCCCCCUGGGAUAAUACUGACGCUCAGACACGAAAGCGUGGGGAGCAAACAG